GGAUUAGAUACCCUGGUAGUCCACGCCGUAAACGAUGAUCACUAGAUGUUGGCGAUACAAUGUCAGUAUCUGAGCGAAAGCAUUAAGUGAUCCACCUGGGGAGUACGGUCGCAAGAUUGAAACUCAAAGGAAUUGACGGGGGCCCGCACAAGCGGUGGAGCAUGUGGUUUAAUUCGAUGGUACGCGAGGAACCUUACCUAGGCUUAAAUGUAGAUUGACGUAUUGGGAAACCAGUAUUUCUUCGGACAAUUUACAAGGUGCUGCAUGGUUGUCGUCAGCUCGUGCCG
RNAcentral lists this ribosomal RNA (287 nucleotides) under uncultured bacterium. RNAcentral describes it as "partial 16S ribosomal RNA". It matches the Rfam family "Bacterial small subunit ribosomal RNA", at positions 775 to 1067 of the family's 1533-position model. The record is from RNAcentral.